RNAcentral lists this unclassified non-coding RNA (200 nucleotides) under soil metagenome. RNAcentral describes it as "partial contains internal transcribed spacer 2 and large subunit ribosomal RNA". The record is from RNAcentral.
AUGGCUCACCUUAAAUGCAUUAGCUGGACUUGUUUGUGAGGAUCGGUUUGACUUGGCGUAAUAAGUAUUUCGCUGAGGACAUCUUUCGAGAUGGCCGAACUUCUCGACGUCUGUCUGCUUUCCAACCACGUUCUCCCUUGGGAGACAUGACUAUUUUAUUAUCUGGCCUCAAAUCAGGUAGGACUACCCGCUGAACUUAA